UGGGGAAUCUUGGACAAUGGGGGCAACCCUGAUCCAGCCAUGCCGCGUGAGUGAUGAAGGCCUUAGGGUCGUAAAGCUCUUUCGCCUGUGAAGAUAAUGACGGUAGCAGGUAAAGAAACCCCGGCUAACUCCGUGCCAGCAGCCGCGGUAAUACGGAGGGGGUUAGCGUUGUUCGGAAUUACUGGGCGUAAAGCGCACGUAGGCGGACCAGAAAGUUGGGGGUGAAAUCCCGGGGGCUCAACCCCGGAACUGCCUCCAAAACUAUUGGUCUAGAGUUCGAGAGAGGUGAGUGGAAUUCCAAGUGUAGAGGUGAAAUUCGUAGAUAUUUGGAGGAACACCAGUGGCGAAGGCGGCUCACUGGCUCGAUACUGACGCUGAGGUGCGAAAGUGUGGGGAGCAAACAGGAUUAGAUACCCUGGUAGUCCAUGCCGUAAACGUUGGGCACUAGGUGUGGGUCUCAACCAACGAGAUCCGCGCCGUCGCUAACGCAUUAAGU
Molecule: ribosomal RNA, 496 nt
Filed under: uncultured bacterium
Lineage: Bacteria
Description: bacterial SSU rRNA
Rfam family: Bacterial small subunit ribosomal RNA
Source: RNAcentral